RNAcentral lists this transfer RNA (70 nucleotides) under Deltaproteobacteria bacterium. Its description in RNAcentral is "tRNA-Asn". The stretch from base 4 to 59 matches the Rfam family "tRNA", at positions 10 to 63 of the family's 71-position model. Rfam says of the family: Transfer RNA (tRNA) molecules are approximately 80 nucleotides in length. Their secondary structure includes four short double-helical elements and three loops (D, anti-codon, and T loops). Further hydrogen bonds mediate the characteristic L-shaped molecular structure. tRNAs have two regions of fundamental functional importance: the anti-codon, which is responsible for specific mRNA codon recognition, and the 3' end, to which the tRNAs corresponding amino acid is attached (by aminoacyl-tRNA synthetases). tRNAs cope with the degeneracy of the genetic code in two manners: having more than one tRNA (with a specific anti-codon) for a particular amino acid; and 'wobble' base-pairing, i.e. permitting non-standard base-pairing at the 3rd anti-codon position. The record is from RNAcentral. Lineage: Bacteria; Pseudomonadati; Myxococcota; Myxococcia.
ACCGCUCAAUCGGCAGAGCGGGUGGCUGUUAACCACUAGGUUGCAAGUUCAAGUCUUGCUCGGGGAGCCA